GAGGAGGAGGGGGCUGCUUCGGAGCCUCGCCUCCCGCUAUGGAGGGGGAACGGCCGCACCGGCACCGGCGAUCAGCACUGGGUUGCUUGGAGAGGGCUCCCGCAGGCGUGCGCGCCACCGAGCUCGGACGUGCGCGGCCCGGGGGCGGGGGCGGAGCGCGCCACCCCUCGCCGGUCUGGAGGGAAAGUUGGUGGCGGGCGCGCGCACAGGGUCCAGCGGCGGCCCACCCGCAAUCCCUACCGAGAGCUCAGCCCACGCUGCCUGGAGACUGUCGCCAUGGCAACCGGUUCUAAUUAAGAAUUCCAGGGUCCCUCCCGUCGAGUCUGUGGAGUGGGCUUUGCAGUUUACACGUGUUCAUCUCUAAUCUUCACUACAGCCCUUUAAGGCAAAGGAUAUUACCGUUAUGGCUGUUUUACCGAUGAGGAAACAAGCCUUAAAAAAACAGUGACUUUGCUCAAGGUCAGAAGCAAGCGAUGCAACAAGAAUUCAAUCCGUGGUUGAAAUGGUAGAUGGCACUUGUAAGUUUUCCACCACCCUAAAGCCCCUCCUUAGUUUCUGUAUAAUGCAUGUCAUUAUAUUAUAUUAUACUAUCAUAUAAUCUGUA
Molecule: long non-coding RNA, 604 nt
Organism: Mastomys coucha (southern multimammate mouse)
Lineage: Eukaryota; Metazoa; Chordata; Mammalia; Rodentia; Muridae
Exons: 2
Source: RefSeq, a predicted model, not a curated record